GCCUUUAUAGCUCAGUGGUAGAGCGUUGCACUUGUAGGAUGCAAAGGUCCAUUGUUCAAUCCAGUGUGGAGGCA
Molecule: transfer RNA, 74 nt
Rfam family: tRNA
About the family: Transfer RNA (tRNA) molecules are approximately 80 nucleotides in length. Their secondary structure includes four short double-helical elements and three loops (D, anti-codon, and T loops). Further hydrogen bonds mediate the characteristic L-shaped molecular structure. tRNAs have two regions of fundamental functional importance: the anti-codon, which is responsible for specific mRNA codon recognition, and the 3' end, to which the tRNAs corresponding amino acid is attached (by aminoacyl-tRNA synthetases). tRNAs cope with the degeneracy of the genetic code in two manners: having more than one tRNA (with a specific anti-codon) for a particular amino acid; and 'wobble' base-pairing, i.e. permitting non-standard base-pairing at the 3rd anti-codon position.